Long non-coding RNA from Nymphaea colorata (pocket water lily), 794 nucleotides. RefSeq lists it as uncharacterized. The record is from RefSeq and is a predicted model, not a curated record. Lineage: Eukaryota; Viridiplantae; Streptophyta; Magnoliopsida; Nymphaeales; Nymphaeaceae. The transcript is spliced from 2 exons.
UAGCUUCCCCAACCCCGACCCCGAGCCCCCGACUCCAUUUUUUUUUCUCCUUCUCCUUCUCCUCCAUCUCCGCUGUCUUUCUCCUCCAUCUCCGCCCCCUCCGCCCCGAGCUUCCCUAGCUCUUCCUGUUUCUCUUCUUCUCCUCUGUCACCCGACCUGCCCUAGCCCUUUCUAUUUUUCUUCUCCUCCGUCUCUGCGGGAGGGCGACUGCCAGACUCUUUUGUUCCGUCUACUGAAAGAUAUCGCUCAUUUGCUUCUUCCUCUGCUGAACGGAGCCAUUGAGGAAGUUAUCUGCCCCCGUUGGUCUUUGUCGUUCAUCGGCCUCUUCAGUUGGAAGAAGAAAGAAGGAAGAAGGAGAGAAAGACUGGAGCUUUCGAGUGAUUGAAGAUUUCGGCAGUGGCAGUGAAGUCGUGUAUGCCCAUUUACAUGCAAAAAGGCAAACCAUGCCAAUAAGGUCUCCUUCUCAAAUCACAAGACAAAGAAAUUGCAGUUUGUAAAUUUGCAGUGCAAGAAAGUGUGGUGGAAAGCUGAAAAGAGGUACUUGAAAUUGAGGUUGUCCACAAAAGCAUUGAAGACCAUCAAGAAGAAAGGCUUAGAUGUUGUGGCUAAAGAAGCUGGCAUCGACCUCAUGAAAAAAUGAUGAUUUUGUAAUGCAUUUGGACUCUCCUUUUUAAACCUUACCUUUUCUUUUGUUCAAUAGCACAUGUUUUGAUAAUGGCUAUUUUUUUCCCAUUAAAAGUUCAGUGCUUGUGCAUCUGGGUUGAGUCUAUAGCUGUUAACUUGUGCUUGUUUUA